This 1372-nucleotide ribosomal RNA is filed under the name uncultured bacterium. Its description in RNAcentral is "bacterial SSU rRNA". It matches the Rfam family "Bacterial small subunit ribosomal RNA", at positions 28 to 1381 of the family's 1533-position model. The record is from RNAcentral.
GAUGAACGCUGGCGGCGUGCCUAAUACAUGCAAGUCGAGCGAACGGACGAGAAGCUUGCUUCUCUGAUGUUAGCGGCGGACGGGUGAGUAACACGUGGAUAACCUACCUAUAAGACUGGGAUAACUUCGGGAAACCGGAGCUAAUACCGGAUAAUAUUUUGAACCGCAUGGUUCAAAAGUGAAAGACGGUCUUGCUGUCACUUAUAGAUGGAUCCGCGCUGCAUUAGCUAGUUGGUAAGGUAACGGCUUACCAAGGCAACGAUGCAUAGCCGACCUGAGAGGGUGAUCGGCCACACUGGAACUGAGACACGGUCCAGACUCCUACGGGAGGCAGCAGUAGGGAAUCUUCCGCAAUGGGCGAAAGCCUGACGGAGCAACGCCGCGUGAGUGAUGAAGGUCUUCGGGUCGUAAAACUCUGUUAUUAGGGAAGAACAUAUGUGUAAGUAACUGUGCACAUCUUGACGGUACCUAAUCAGAAAGCCACGGCUAACUACGUGCCAGCAGCCGCGGUAAUACGUAGGUGGCAAGCGUUAUCCGGAAUUAUUGGGCGUAAAGCGCGCGUAGGCGGUUUUUUAAGUCUGAUGUGAAAGCCCACGGCUCAACCGUGGAGGGUCAUUGGAAACUGGAAAACUUGAGUGCAGAAGAGGAAAGUGGAAUUCCAUGUGUAGCGGUGAAAUGCGCAGAGAUAUGGAGGAACACCAGUGGCGAAGGCGACUUUCUGGUCUGUAACUGACGCUGAUGUGCGAAAGCGUGGGGAUCAAACAGGAUUAGAUACCCUGGUAGUCCACGCCGUAAACGAUGAGUGCUAAGUGUUAGGGGGUUUCCGCCCCUUAGUGCUGCAGCUAACGCAUUAAGCACUCCGCCUGGGGAGUACGACCGCAAGGUUGAAACUCAAAGGAAUUGACGGGGACCCGCACAAGCGGUGGAGCAUGUGGUUUAAUUCGAAGCAACGCGAAGAACCUUACCAAAUCUUGACAUCCUUUGACAACUCUAGAGAUAGAGCCUUCCCCUUCGGGGGACAAAGUGACAGGUGGUGCAUGGUUGUCGUCAGCUCGUGUCGUGAGAUGUUGGGUUAAGUCCCGCAACGAGCGCAACCCUUAAGCUUAGUUGCCAUCAUUAAGUUGGGCACUCUAAGUUGACUGCCGGUGACAAACCGGAGGAAGGUGGGGAUGACGUCAAAUCAUCAUGCCCCUUAUGAUUUGGGCUACACACGUGCUACAAUGGACAAUACAAAGGGCAGCGAAACCGCGAGGUCAAGCAAAUCCCAUACAGUUGUUCUCAGUUCGGAUUGUAGUCUGCAACUCGACUACAUGAAGCUGGAAUCGCUAGUAAUCGUAGAUCAGCAUGCUACGGUGAAUACGUUCCCGGGUCU